CCGAUUCCCACAAGGACGAGAUCGGCGCGCAACCGCGCACCGCUUCGCGUUCUCACUACGCCGGCAAGGCCGUUGCGGUCCUCGAUUUCUGCAACACCUUCGUUGAGCCGCACAUCGACGCCGUGCCUUGUAUGCAGAUCGAGCAGGAACUGCGAGACGACCGGCGAGACGGAGCGUUCGAGCAGCCGGGACGCGCUCUCGAUGACGGUGACUUUCUUGCCGAGCUUGCUGGCGGAUGCU
This 240-nucleotide unclassified non-coding RNA is filed under the name Hevea brasiliensis (rubber tree). The record is from RNAcentral. Lineage: Eukaryota; Viridiplantae; Streptophyta; Magnoliopsida; Malpighiales; Euphorbiaceae.